GGCCUUCUUGAACGAUACCAAGUGCAUCCAUUAUUUCUUUUGACAGCUAAUAUGGAUAAAGUAACUGAUAUCAAAAAGUUCAGAAACUUACCCACUGUAAAUUAGAGUUCGCUCCAGUAGGACGGUAAACCGAUGCCUUUGGGUAUAGCUGGAAGAGGAAAGACUUCAUAUCCCCAUAAAAGUCAGCAUGCUUCUCCCAUGGCUGAGAUGCAUAACCUCCGUAAAUAUAGCCUUCUUUGUCUUUAAUUACCAAUAAAGUUGGUCCUUUGUCAUUUGAAAUGUUCCCCAGGAAAGUACUGAAACUUAGGCCAUGUACUGUACUGUGAUACAAAAGUCUCCAUUCAUGCAGCUCGUCUUGUGGGAGGGCCCCACCUAUAUGCCAAGCAUAUUCCUUUCUUAACAAUAUUACAGCAGGAUCAAUGUUCUCUGGGUA
RNAcentral lists this unclassified non-coding RNA (433 nucleotides) under Hevea brasiliensis (rubber tree). The record is from RNAcentral. Lineage: Eukaryota; Viridiplantae; Streptophyta; Magnoliopsida; Malpighiales; Euphorbiaceae.